ACAUAUAUUAUAACUAUAUUUGUAAUGUAUUUCAUAACGCACGGAGCCGGAAGUAACGCAGUUGUGCAGUCUAUUAUAUUCCGCGAUAGAACUAACAACUGUUUGACUGCGACUUUUGCGGUUUUGUUUGUUUAUACGAGGACUGUAUAUUUAAUCCAGCAGCAUGAAACAGUCCAAACUAUCCACUGGAAAGCGUCUUACAAAACCGCUUCUUUUUGGGACACUGCUUGUUGGUUUGGCCGCAGCAUUUUUUAAUAGGCAUUUGUUCAUGGACGACCUGGCAGAUCUCAGGGAGCAGGAGAGGAUCCGUAAUGAGGCCAAACGGAUGGAGGUGCUGGAGAGGAGGCAGAGACAAAUGGAUGAUCUUGCAGAGAAGAAAAGUGCAGGGGGAAGUUGAGAUUGAAUGGACACCUGCAACAAACCAGUGCUGAAGAAGCAAACAUGGGACAUUUUUUGCCAACAAGUUUUUGAGUGUUAUAAAACUGUGACUGUUCUGUUAUUGCUAAAUUGGAAUAGAAGUUGCAUGGAAAGUCUAUAGGCGAUAUAGAAAGCAAGUAAAAUGUAGGUUAGUUAGAUCAUCAUUAAUUGUAACAGUUUGAUUUGCUCCUUACGAGGAUUAUAUUUCACACAAAUGUAAAGGCAAAUGGUUAAAAUAAGUACUUUUGGGGCCAAACAGUGCUGUUACUCAUUCCUGCCACUGACAACAUGCAUCAGUUUAUCAAAGUAUUGCAAAGUAUACUUUAAAGGGAUAGUUCACCCAAAAAUGAAAAUUCUCUCAUCAUUUACUCACCCUCAUGCCAUCCCAGAUGUGUAUGACUUUCUUCCAUAGAACACAAAUGAAGAUUUUCAGAAGAAUAUUUCAGCUCUGUAGGUCCAUACAAGGCAAAUGAAUGGGUGCCAAAUUUUUACGCUCCAAAAAGCACAUAAAGGCAGCAUAAAAGGAAUCCGUAAGACUCCAGUUGUUAAAUCAAUUUCUUCAGAAGUGAUAUGAUAGGUGUGGGUGAGAAACAGAUCAAUAUUAAAGUCCAUUUUUGCUAGAAAUUCUCCUCCCUGCCCAGUAGGUGGUGAUAUGCAUGAAGAAUUUGAAUCACCAAAAACACAAGAAGAAGACUGUGAAAGUUAAAGUGGAGAUUGACUGAGCAGGUAGGAGAACUUAUGGUAAAGAUUUACUAAAAUACUGAUCUGUUUCUCACGCACAACUAUCAAAUCGCUUCUGAAGACAUUGAUUUAACCACUGGAGUUGUAUGGAUUACUUUUAAGCUGACCUAUGUGAUUUUUGGCACUACAAAGGUCACCAUUCACUUGCAUUGUAUGAACCUAAAGAGCUGAAAUAUUCUGCAUGAAACAUGAAAGUUCUGCAGAAGAAAGUCAUACACAUCCGGGAUGGCACAAUGGCAGAAUUUUCAUUUUUUGGGUGAACAAUUCCUUUAAAUGUUCUAUAGUACAAUCUACAGGUUGUCUAAUCAGUCAAUCAUUGUCAGUAUCAGUCAAUCAAAAGGGAGGCGAAGAACAGCAGACCUAAUAAAAUUACAAACUGAAUUUA
Molecule: long non-coding RNA, 1543 nt
Organism: Myxocyprinus asiaticus (Chinese sucker)
Lineage: Eukaryota; Metazoa; Chordata; Actinopteri; Cypriniformes; Catostomidae
Exons: 2
Source: RefSeq, a predicted model, not a curated record